GACGAACGCUGGCGGCGUGCCUAAUACAUGCAAGUCGAGCGAAGUUUUUCUGGUGCUUGCACUAGAAAAACUUAGCGGCGAACGGGUGAGUAACACGUAAAGAACCUGCCUCAUAGACUGGGACAACUAUUGGAAACGAUAGCUAAUACCGGAUAACAGCAUUAACUGCAUGGUUGAUGUUUGAAAGUUGGUUUUGCUACACUAUGAGAUGGCUUUGCGGUGCAUUAGCUAGUUGGUGGGGUAAAGGCCUACCAAGGCGACGAUGCAUAGCCGACCUGAGAGGGUGAUCGGCCACACUGGGACUGAGACACGGCCCAGACUCCUACGGGAGGCAGCAGUAGGGAAUCUUCCGCAAUGGGCGAAAGCCUGACGGAGCAACGCCGCGUGAGUGAAGAAGGAUUUCGGUUCGUAAAGCUCUGUUGUUAGGGAAGAAUGAUUGUGUAGUA
RNAcentral lists this ribosomal RNA (446 nucleotides) under Gemella haemolysans. Its description in RNAcentral is "bacterial SSU rRNA". It matches the Rfam family "Bacterial small subunit ribosomal RNA", at positions 28 to 462 of the family's 1533-position model. Lineage: Bacteria; Bacillati; Bacillota; Bacilli; Caryophanales; Gemellaceae. The record is from RNAcentral.